This 534-nucleotide ribosomal RNA is filed under the name uncultured bacterium. Its description in RNAcentral is "bacterial SSU rRNA". It matches the Rfam family "Bacterial small subunit ribosomal RNA", at positions 293 to 858 of the family's 1533-position model. The record is from RNAcentral.
CCCGCGCCCGGCCCGCCGCCCCCGCCCCCCUACGGGAGGCAGCAGUGGGGAAUUUUCCGCAAUGGGCGAAAGCCUGACGGAGCAACGCCGCGUGAGGGAUGAAGGCCUCUGGGCUGUAAACCUCUUUUAUCAAGGAAGAAGAUCUGACGGUACUUGAUGAAUAAGCCACGGCUAAUUCCGUGCCAGCAGCCGCGGUAAUACGGGAGUGGCAAGCGUUAUCCGGAAUUAUUGGGCGUAAAGCGUCCGCGGGCGGUCUUGUAAGUCUGUCGUUAAAGCGUGGAGCUUAACUCCAUUUAAGCGAUGGAAACUGCAAGACUAGAGUGUGGUAGGGGCAGAGGGAAUUCCCGGUGUAGCGGUGAAAUGCGUAGAUAUCGGGAAGAACACCAGUGGCGAAGGCGCUCUGCUGGGCCAUAACUGACGCUCAUGGACGAAAGCCAGGGGAGCGAAAGGGAUUAGAUACCCCUGUAGUCCUGGCCGUAAACGAUGAACACUAGGUGUCGGGGGAAUCGACCCCCUCGGUGUGGCAGCCAACGC